UUUAAAGAGAGUUUGAUCCUGGCUCAGGACGAACGCUGGCGGCGUGCCUAAUACAUGCAAGUCGAACGAACGGAGGAAGAGCUUGCUCUUCCAAUGUUAGUGGCGGACGGGUGAGUAACACGUGGGCAACCUGCCUGUAAGUUGGGGAUAACUCCGGGAAACCGGGGCUAAUACCGAAUGAUAAGAUGUGGCGCAUGCCACGCCUUUGAAAGAUGGUUUCGGCUAUCGCUUACAGAUGGGCCCGCGGUGCAUUAGCUAGUUGGUAGGGUAAUGGCCUACCAAGGCAACGAUGCAUAGCCGACCUGAGAGGGUGAUCGGCCACACUGGGACUGAGACACGGCCCAGACUCCUACGGGAGGCAGCAGUAGGGAAUCUUCCGCAAUGGACGAAAGUCUGACGGAGCAACGCCGCGUGUAUGAAGAAGGUUUUCGGAUCGUAAAGUACUGUUGUUAGAGAAGAACAAGGAUAAGAGUAACUGCUUGUCCCUUGACGGUAUCUAACCAGAAAGCCACGGCUAACUACGUGCCAGCAGCCGCGGUAAUACGUAGGUGGCAAGCGUUGUCCGGAUUUAUUGGGCGUAAAGCGCGCGCAGGCGGUCUUUUAAGUCUGA
This 610-nucleotide ribosomal RNA is filed under the name Listeria monocytogenes. RNAcentral describes it as "bacterial SSU rRNA". It matches the Rfam family "Bacterial small subunit ribosomal RNA", at positions 1 to 592 of the family's 1533-position model. Lineage: Bacteria; Bacillati; Bacillota; Bacilli; Caryophanales; Listeriaceae. The record is from RNAcentral.